RNAcentral lists this ribosomal RNA (448 nucleotides) under uncultured bacterium. Its description in RNAcentral is "bacterial SSU rRNA". It matches the Rfam family "Bacterial small subunit ribosomal RNA", at positions 355 to 825 of the family's 1533-position model. The record is from RNAcentral.
UCGGGAAUUUUGGGCAAUGGGGGAAACCCUGACCCAGCAACGCCGCGUGAAGGAUGAAGUAUUUCGGUAUGUAAACUUCGAAAGAAUAGGAAGAAUAAAUGACGGUACUAUUUAUAAGGUCCGGCUAACUACGUGCCAGCAGCCGCGGUAAUACGUAGGGACCAAGCGUUGUUCGGAUUUACUGGGCGUAAAGGGCGCGUAGGCGGCAUGACAAGUCACUUGUGAAAUCUCUGGGCUUAACCCAGAACGGCCAAGUGAUACUGUCGCGCUAGAGUGCAGAAGGGGCAAUCGGAAUUCUUGGUGUAGCGGUGAAAUGCGUAGAUAUCAAGAGGAACACCUGAGGUGAAGACGGGUUGCUGGGCUGACACUGACGCUGAGGCGCGAAAGCCAGGGGGAGCAAACGGGAUUAGAUACCCUUGUAGUCCCUGAGCGGGCUGGCAAGGCGCAU